Cervus elaphus (red deer) is the source of this 516-nucleotide long non-coding RNA. RefSeq lists it as uncharacterized. The transcript is spliced from 4 exons. NCBI's taxonomy places the organism in Eukaryota, Metazoa, Chordata, Mammalia, Artiodactyla, Cervidae. The record is from RefSeq and is a predicted model, not a curated record.
CGGCAGCAGCUGAAGGUGAAAGAGCUGUGUGGAUGCCUUUAAAGGUAUUUUCUCAGCCUGUAUGCGAGUUUGGGACAUAAUAUCCCCAAAGAAGACGCAGAGCAGGAGGAAGAAGACGAGGAGAUGGCAGCUUCUCAGGGACAGUUGACAUUCCGGGAUGUGGCCAUAGACUUCACUCAAGAGGAGUGGGAAUGCCUGGACCUCGGUCAGCGGGCAUUUACACAGACGCGAUGUUAGAGAACUACGGGAACCUGGGCUCCUUGGGACUUGUAGUCUCUGGGCUGAAUCUGGUCACCUUUCUGGAGCAACUGCACGAUCCCAGGAGUAUAAGGAGAGCGGAGACAGCAGCCAUAUACCCAGCUAUCUCUCCAUAAGACACCAGGAUUUGAUGCCAAAGAAACCAAGGAUAGAAGAUUUGUUUCCAGAAGCAAACCUAGAAAUAUAUGAAAGAUUUCACCUCAGAAACUUUAAUUUAAUAAAACACUGGGAAUAUACAAGGGCAUAUAAAGACAGAGA